GAUGAACGCUGGCGGCGUGCCUAAUACAUGCAAGUCGAGCGAACAGACGCGGCGCUUGCUCCUCUGACGUUAGCGGCGGACGGAUGAGUAACACGUGGAUAACCUACCUAUAAGACUGGGCUAACUUCGGGAAACCGGAGCUAAUACCGGAUAAUAUAUUGAACCGCAUGGUUCAAUAGUGAAAGACGGUUUUGCUGUCACUUAUAGAUGGAUCCGCGCCGCAUUAGCUAGUUGGUAAGGUAACGGCUUACCAAGGCAACGAUGCGUAGCCGACCUGAGAGGGUGAUCGGCCACACUGGAACUGAGACACGGUCCAGACUCCUACGGGAGGCAGCAGUAGGGAAUUUUCCGCAAUGGGCGAAAGCUUGACGGAGCAACGCCGCGUGAGUGAUGAAGGUCUUCGGGUCGUAAAACUCUGUUAUUAGGGAAGAACAAAUGUGUAAGUAACUAUGCACGUCUUGACGGUACCUAAUCAGAAAGCCACGGCUAACUACGUG
This 497-nucleotide ribosomal RNA is filed under the name uncultured bacterium. RNAcentral describes it as "partial 16S ribosomal RNA". It matches the Rfam family "Bacterial small subunit ribosomal RNA", at positions 28 to 507 of the family's 1533-position model. The record is from RNAcentral.